This 465-nucleotide ribosomal RNA is filed under the name uncultured bacterium. Its description in RNAcentral is "partial 16S ribosomal RNA". It matches the Rfam family "Bacterial small subunit ribosomal RNA", at positions 28 to 507 of the family's 1533-position model. The record is from RNAcentral.
GAUGAACGCUGGCGGCGUGCUUAACACAUGCAAGUCGAACGGUAAGGCCCUUACGGGGGUACACGAGUGGUGAACGGGGGAGUAAGAGGUGGGUAACCUUCCCACAACUUUGUGAUAAGGCUAGGAAACUGGUGCAAAUACUGGAAAUGUGCUCCUGCUGCAUGGGGGGGGUUGGAAAGAUCCUGGGGCCGUGGAUGGAUUCGCGGCCUAUCAGCGGGUUGGUGGGGUAGUGGGCUACCAAGGCGGCGAGGGGAAGCCGGACUGUGGGGGUGAGCGGCGACACUGAGACUGAGAGGCGGCACCGGCUCCUACGGGAGGCAGCAGUGGGGAAGAUUGCACAAUGCGCGCCAGCCUGAUGCAGCAGGGCCUCGGGCGGGAAGACGGCCUUCUGGUUGUAGACCAGUUUCAGCAGGAACGAAGCCUUUUGUGACGGUACCUGAAGAAGAAGCACCGGCUAACUACGUG